This 222-nucleotide ribosomal RNA is filed under the name uncultured bacterium. Its description in RNAcentral is "partial 16S ribosomal RNA". It matches the Rfam family "Bacterial small subunit ribosomal RNA", at positions 28 to 250 of the family's 1533-position model. The record is from RNAcentral.
GACGAACGCUGGCGGCGUGCUUAACACAUGCAAGUCGAGCGGUAAGGCCCUUUCGGGGGUACGACGAGCGGCGAACGGGUGAGUAACACGUGGGUGACCUGCCUCUAGCUCUGGGAUAAGCCCGGGAAACUGGGUCUAAUACUGGAUAUGACUCCAUGACGCAUGUUGUGGGGUGGAAAGCCUUGUGCGGCUAGAGAUGGGCCCGCGGCCUAUCAGCUUGUU